GUGCUCACUUUGGCAGCUCAUAUACUAAAAUUGGAACAAUGCAGAGGAGACUAGCAUGGCCCCUUGCAAGGAUGACAUGCAAAUCCGUGAAGCAUUUCAUAUUUUA
This 106-nucleotide small nuclear RNA is filed under the name Carlito syrichta (Philippine tarsier). The record is from RNAcentral. Lineage: Eukaryota; Metazoa; Chordata; Mammalia; Primates; Tarsiidae.